UCCCAGACUCCUACGGGAGGCAGCAGUGGGGGAUAUUGGACAAUGGGGGGAACCCUGAUCCAGCGAUGCCGCGUGAGGGAAGAAGGUUUUCGGAUUGUAAACCUCUGUGGACAGGGACGAUAAUGACGGUACCUGUCAAGAAAGCCCCGGCUAACUACGUGCCAGCAGCCGCGGUAAUACGUAGGGGGCAAGCGUUAUCCGGAUUUACUGGGUGUAAAGGGAGCGUAGACGGUUGUGCAAGUCUGGAGUGAAAGGCGGGGGCCCAACCCCCGGACUGCUUUGGGAACUGUAUAACUGGAGUGCAGGAGAGGUAAGUGGAAUUCCUAGUGUAGCGGUGAAAUGCGUAGAUAUUAGGAGGAACACCAGUGGCGAAGGCGGCUUACUGGACUGUAACUGACGUUGAGGCUCGAAAGCGUGGGGAGCAAACAGGAUUAGAUACCCUUGUAGAG
Molecule: ribosomal RNA, 449 nt
Filed under: uncultured bacterium
Lineage: Bacteria
Description: bacterial SSU rRNA
Rfam family: Bacterial small subunit ribosomal RNA
Source: RNAcentral